This 232-nucleotide ribosomal RNA is filed under the name uncultured bacterium. RNAcentral describes it as "partial 16S ribosomal RNA". It matches the Rfam family "Bacterial small subunit ribosomal RNA", at positions 104 to 334 of the family's 1533-position model. The record is from RNAcentral.
CGGGGUGAGUAACGCGUGGGUAGCCUGCCUCAUACAGGGGGAUAACAGUUAGAAAUGGCUGCUAAUACCGCAUAAGACCACAGUACUGCAUGGUACAGUGGUAAAAACUCCGGUGGUAUGAGAUGGACCCGCGUCUGAUUAGGUAGUUGGUGAGGUAACGGCCCACCAAGCCGACGAUCAGUAGCCGACCUGAGAGGGUGACCGGCCACAUUGGGACUGAGACACGGCCCAG